This 60-nucleotide transfer RNA is filed under the name Streptomyces albidoflavus. Its description in RNAcentral is "tRNA-Xxx". The record is from RNAcentral. Lineage: Bacteria; Bacillati; Actinomycetota; Actinomycetes; Kitasatosporales; Streptomycetaceae.
GUAUACCCCGGCCUGAACCGGCCUCCGGAGCCGUGUGCGCAGGUUCGAAUCCUGCCGGGG